RNAcentral lists this ribosomal RNA (610 nucleotides) under Bacillus subtilis. Its description in RNAcentral is "bacterial SSU rRNA". It matches the Rfam family "Bacterial small subunit ribosomal RNA", at positions 70 to 664 of the family's 1533-position model. The record is from RNAcentral. Lineage: Bacteria; Bacillati; Bacillota; Bacilli; Caryophanales; Bacillaceae.
AGAUGGGAGCUUGCUCCCUGAUGUUAGCGGCGGACGGGUGAGUAACACGUGGGUAACCUGCCUGUAAGACUGGGAUAACUCCGGGAAACCGGGGCUAAUACCGGAUGCUUGUUUGAACCGCAUGGUUCAGACAUAAAAGGUGGCUUCGGCUACCACUUACAGAUGGACCCGCGGCGCAUUAGCUAGUUGGUGAGGUAACGGCUCACCAAGGCGACGAUGCGUAGCCGACCUGAGAGGGUGAUCGGCCACACUGGGACUGAGACACGGCCCAGACUCCUACGGGAGGCAGCAGUAGGGAAUCUUCCGCAAUGGACGAAAGUCUGACGGAGCAACGCCGCGUGAGUGAUGAAGGUUUUCGGAUCGUAAAGCUCUGUUGUUAGGGAAGAACAAGUGCCGUUCAAAUAGGGCGGCACCUUGACGGUACCUAACCAGAAAGCCACGGCUAACUACGUGCCAGCAGCCGCGGUAAUACGUAGGUGGCAAGCGUUGUCCGGAAUUAUUGGGCGUAAAGGGCUCGCAGGCGGUUUCUUAAGUCUGAUGUGAAAGCCCCCGGCUCAACCGGGGAGGGUCAUUGGAAACUGGGGAACUUGAGUGCAGAAGAGGAGAGUGG